GUGUUCACUUCAGCAGCAGAUAUACUAAACUUGGAAUGAUAUGGAUUAGCAUGGCCCUGUACAAGGAUACACAAAUCCAUGAAAACUACUCAUGUUUU
Small nuclear RNA from Cricetulus griseus (Chinese hamster), 98 nucleotides. The record is from Ensembl. Lineage: Eukaryota; Metazoa; Chordata; Mammalia; Rodentia; Cricetidae.